AGCGUCCCGCCCUCCUCCCGCGGAGUCAGUGGGUGAGGGUCGGGCUUGAAGCCAUAGCUGCGGGACCGUACUCGUCUCCCCCGACGCAGACCAUGGAGAGCGCGCUGGCGGUGCCCCGGCUGCCCCCGCAUGAUCCAGGGACGCCGGUGCUGUCGGUGGUGGACAUGCACACGGGCGGCGAGCCCUUGCGUAUCGUGCUGGCGGGGUGUCCGGAGGUGUCUGGGCCCACCCUGCUGGCCAAGCGGCGCUACAUGCGCCAGCACCUUGACCACGUGCGGCGACGGCUCAUGUUCGAGCCCCGAGGGCACCGGGACAUGUACGGGGCGGUCCUAGUCCCGAGCGAGCUGCCGGACGCGCAUCUGGGCGUCCUGUUCCUGCACAACGAGGGCUACAGCUCCAUGUGCGGCCACGCAGUGCUGGCGCUGGGCCGCUUCGCUUUGGACUUCGGGCUUGUGCCGGCGCCCCCUGCGGGCACCCGCGAGGCCCGCGUCAAUAUCCACUGCCCCUGCGGGCUGGUGACCGCCUUCGUGGCAUGCGAGGACGGCCGCAGCCACGGACCGGUGCGCUUCCACAGCGUCCCGGCCUUCGUGCUGGCCACAGGUAAUGGGCGGGACCUUUCCAGCCCAGGGCAGAGCUGCAACCGGGACGCGACUAACUACAUUAACGGUUUUUCUGGGCUGGAACUCUGGCAACUAACCUACUCCGCGAAACCUUGCAAUUAAUAGAAAGAUCUCAUGGUGGAUGUUCCUGGACAUGGAAAGGUGAUGGUGGACAUUGCAUAUGGCGGUGCAUUUUAUGCAUUUGUUACUGCUGAAAAGUUAGGACUAGACAUUUGUUCUGCAAAGACCAGGGACCUUGUGGAUGCAGCGAGUGCAGUGACAGAGGCAGUGAAAGCUCAGUUUAAAAUUAAUCAUCCUGAUAGUGAAGACCUUGCCUUUUUAUAUGGAACUAUAUUAACAGAUGGAAAAGAUGCUUAUACCAAGGAACCAACCACCAACAUUUGUGUUUUUGCAGAUGAACAGGUUGACAGAAGUCCCACUGGCUCAGGAGUGACAGCCCGAAUUGCCUUACAGUAUCACAAAGGGCUUCUGGAACUGAACCAGAUGAGAGCCUUCAAAAGCAGUGCAACUGGCUCAGUAUUCACAGGGAAAGCUGUGAGGGUAAGUGGCACCCUUAGCUUCUUAUUUAUAAAUGUGUCACUCAUGAGACUGGAGAGGCCUGAGUUGGGUGUUUGAUAAAUUUCUUCACUCAGCUCUCAGAAGAGAAUUUUAAAGCAGGCCUGUAAAAACUUCUUUUCAACUAGGACAUUGGUUAUCCAGUGUGGUCUUGGGGCCCCAGCGGGCCCCUAAGGUCCUUUCCAUGGGUUCAGAGGGUCAAAACUGUGUUCAUAAUAAUGACAUUAUUUGCUUUUCACUCUCAUUCUCUCAAGAGUGUACAGUGGGGUUCUUCAGAGGCUACGAUGUGAUAUGUGAUAACCCAACCAAUUGAAUGCAGAAGCUAGAUAUGAGAACCUAGUUGUCUUCUGUUAAGCCAGACAUGAAACAGGUUUGCAAAAAUAUCAAACAAUGCCACUUUUCUCAUAAUUUUUUUUGUUUUGGCAAACAGUUAUUUUCACAAAAAUGUGUUAUUCAUAUGUUAAUGUAUAAUGGGUUAUUUUUAAAAUGAAGUAAUGAACAGAUAUAUCCAAUUCCUAAUACAGUAAAUAUUGAUAGAUAUAACUUAUAUAAAGAAAAACUCUUUGGGGUCCUCAAAUCUUAAGGUAUAAAAGGGUCCUAAGACCAAAAGGUUUGAGAACCAUUAGGAUUUGGGGUUUUUUUUUGUUUUUUUGUUUUAUUUUAUAAUAGUGUUUUAUUUGAUAUAAUAGGAUGUGAAAGCCCUGAAAAGUUGUGGAACAUCAAAUUUUUGUAAUGGAAUAAAAUUUUAAAUGUGCUAACAGCUAAGUAAUGAAUCUUAUCUCAGUAGUAAAUGAAAUCUACUACAGAAUGAUCUACAUUCAGUAAAUUAUUCUACUCAUAAAGAGUCCUUUAACAUAGCAAACAAUCUAUCCUAAUAUAGCUGUUUUUAAGAUUUGGUGUUUCUGAAUAUUAGAGUUUCCUUAAGGAUCUCUACAUCAUAUAGUGAUCUGAAACAUGUGAAACCAUUUAUGUUGUAUGCAAAAAUUUGGAACAUACUGUCUUCAAAAUCUGAAAUGGAACAUAAAAAUAACAACAUACAUUUAUUGGAUACUUCACUGUGCAUCAGUUUCCAAGCUAAGCACUUGAUACAUGCCAUCUCAUUUAAUCCUCACAAGAAUCCUACAAGGUCAGUACUGUGCUGUUAUUAUCGUUUUUCAAUAGAUGAUAAAACGGAGAAUUGGAGAAGUUAGGUAAUUUACCAGAGGUUAGUUAGUGAGUAGCAGAUCCAGGUCAUGAAGGUGGGUCUCUGAACAGACCACAUGCUGUUAAGCAUUAUAUUAUAUUGCUGUCAGACAAAGCAAAAGGUCAAUGAGGCUUUAUAUUAUAGGAGCUGUUAUGAGAAGAAUCUGGGAUUGCAAUGUCCCCCCAAAUAGAGAGGGAGCCGAGAGACCAAAGAAUGACUCAGACAAGUCCAGGUUGGCAAGUAGAUGCAUUUAUUAGAACUUCCAUAUAAGGCACUCCUGGGAAGCAGCUGAACAACUGUGGAGACCCAUCCUGCCUCCUGACUCUAAGCUGCUUUUAAGCUAAUUUUCUGGCUCUUUGCCUACUGUGUAUGUGUGAUAGGACUGUUUUCCUUGGUAUGUUCCCAGAUAUUCUCUGGGAUAUUUGGGUUCUCAGGGAUACCUGCUUCUUGGCUGGGCACCAUGCCCUUGGCUUACCCCCCAGCCUUCAGGGUUCAAGCAGUGGACAUACACCCUUACAUAACCUGGUGAAGGACCUGUCACACUACAGCAGCUUUAUAAAAAGAUAUAAAAAGAUAAAGUAUUAUACCCUAACAAUAUUUGACAUUUUACCUUUAGCUUCAGUUAUUAUUCUUUUAAAAAUUAGAACAUAAAAAGAUAUGCUGAAGUUAAUGUUUCCAGUUACUUGUUUUAUAGUUAUUGAUCAUGCUUGCCAGAAUGUCUUCACUUGCAUCAUGCUCUCUCCCUGUCUGUGUGGGCCCGUCCAGGCUCCCUGAUGGUACCUUCUCAGUUUCUUCCCCUGCUGCAGCUUCCUUUCCCUGUCCUUCCAUUUAGAUGUUACCGUCACUUCAUCCCCACCUUCCUUCUCAUCUCUUCUACAGUUUGAUGCUGCUGGGCAAUUUCAUCCACUUCCUAGGCUUCAGUUCUCAACCAUCUACUGAUGAUGACUCCCAAAUGUUUAUCCCUGCCCUGACUACCUACCCUGUAUGUCUUUCUGAAUAUAACGCUCUUAAUCCCAACUGUUUAUUAUACUCAUCUCUAAAUGACUGUCCCAGAGGUGUCUCAAACUCACCUUGUUAAAAAGUUCUUCCUUUCUUCCUUUCUCAAAUGUGCUCUUCCUUUCUCUCCCCAUUGUGUUUAAUGGCAUCACUAGCAUCAUUUCCAAGCUAGAAACUAUGGUUAUAAUUAACUUAUUGCUAGUCCUCAAUUCCCACAUGCAUUGAUCAAGAGGCCUAUCAGUUCUACCUCCAAACUAUCUCUAUGUUAGUAUAUAUUCCCCUUCUCCAUCUUCACUGAAAACUCCCAUAGUGACUCUGGAAUCAAUCAUUCAGUGAAUUGAGGUUAUCUCUUAACAUGUUUCUGGGUCUCUUGUCUCUCUCUUCUCCAGUUUGAUCCCCACUUUACAGCUACAGUUAUCUAAAACACAAGUCUGACCAUGUCAUUCUCCUUAAAAACCUUCCCUGGCCCAUAGGAUUAACCCUUGGCCUUUCCUUCACAUGAUAAAAGUCAAGAGUACAGUUUUCAAGCCAGAUAUAAUACGAGUGCAAUAUUUUGAUAGUAUACUCCCUUCAUCUUUUUUCAGGAAGCGAAAUGUGGUGAUUUUAAAGCUGUUAUAGUGGAAGUAUCAGGACAAGCCCAUUACACGGGUACAGCAAGCUUUAUAAUAGAAGAUGACGACCCAUUGAGGGAUGGAUUUCUUCUCAAGUGACUUCUUCCAUGAUUUUAAGGGCUUUCUUUUUAAAGUAAUCAUUAUCCUUAAGGACUGUUUUCUCUAAAUUAUAUGAAAACAAAUAAAUUAUACAUAUAAACUAACUCUCAUUCUUUGUAAAAUACUACCCUGUGGCUAAAUAUAAAGUCAUUAUACCUCGUAUUUGCAACUGUAUUUGUAUAAAUAUCACUUAUGUCUAGCAUACAAAAUGCCAGAAAUUCAGAGUCUUUUUCUAGUGAUUAACGUAUCAGGUAAAAUUAAAACAGUAGUUACUUUUAAAA
Homo sapiens (human) is the source of this 4345-nucleotide RNA transcript. It is a transcript of the gene named trans-L-3-hydroxyproline dehydratase, with no coding region annotated. The record is from RefSeq and is marked reviewed. The transcript has 4 exons. NCBI's taxonomy places the organism in Eukaryota, Metazoa, Chordata, Mammalia, Primates, Hominidae.